RNA transcript from Nicotiana tabacum (common tobacco), 1738 nucleotides. It is a transcript of the gene named NADH dehydrogenase [ubiquinone] 1 alpha subcomplex subunit 9, mitochondrial, with no coding region annotated. The record is from RefSeq and is a predicted model, not a curated record. Lineage: Eukaryota; Viridiplantae; Streptophyta; Magnoliopsida; Solanales; Solanaceae.
AGCUUCAGUGCACUUUUUUUCGCAAUUCCCAAACAGCGCCGCGGUAUCCAUCUCGAGCUCGGCUGAGAACAAGAUGCAGGCAAUCACGAGAAAAUUAGGGCACCAAUCUCUGAAACAUUCACCUGCAAUUUCAUCUUUCAAGUCUCUCUAUCCCCCCUCUGAUGAUCAAUAUUACUGUUCGCGGUUCGCAUCUAACGUUGCCACCAGUGGUGGCGGACAUCUAGCUCGCAAGGGAACUGGUGGAAGAUCAUCUGUUAGUGGAAUCGUUGCUACAGUCUUUGGAGCUACUGGAUUUCUUGGGCGUUAUGUCGUGCAAGAGCUUGCUAAAAUGGGCACUCAAGUCUUGGUCCCUUUCCGUGGAUCCGAGGAUUCUCCUCGUCAUCUCAAGUUAAUGGGUGACUUAGGACAGAUUGUUCCUAUGAAAUACAAUCCCAGGGAUGAAAAUUCAGUUAAAGCUGUGAUGGCAAAAGCUAAUGUUGUGAUCAAUCUCAUUGGAAGGGAAUAUGAGACCAGAAAUUACAGCUUUGAGGAAGUCAACCACCAUAUGGCUGAACAGCUUGCAAUGAUCGCCAAAGAACACGGUGGUAUCAUGAGAUUUAUACAAGUUUCUUGCUUGGGGGUGUCUCCUACAUCCCCAUCUAGAAUGCUCAGAGCUAAAGCUGCGGCGGAAGAAGCUGUUGCACGCGAACUUCCUGAGGCGACCAUAAUGCGACCAGCAGUGAUGAUUGGUACAGAAGAUAGAAUUCUGAAUCCAUGGGCACACUUUGCAAAGAAAUAUGGUUUUAUCCCUCUGUUCGGAGAUGGUUCGACAAAAAUUCAACCUGUAUUCGUUGCUGAUGUUGCUUCUGCAAUUGUUGCUUCUUUGAAAGACAAUGGUAUCAGCAUGGGAAAAGUUUAUGAACUUGGUGGCCCAGAUGUUUACACUAUGCAUGAAUUGGCAGAGCUCAUGUUUGAUAUGAUCCGUGAAUGGCCACGCUAUGUGAAUGUUCCUUUUCCUAUUGCUAAGGCUAUUGCAUCUCCUCGAGAAUUUUUGCUUAAAAAGGUUCCAGCUCCAAUGCCUACCCCUACGAUAUUUAAUCUGGAUGCAAUUGAAGCCAUUAUCACUGACAACAUUGUGUCAAAAGAUGCCUUGACUUUUGAAGAUCUAGGGCUUGCGCCCCAUAAGGUGAAGGGUUAUCCGGUUGAAUUUCUUAUCCAGUAUCGUAAAGGUGGACCAAAUUAUGGAUCAACUGUUAGUGAAAGAGUGUCUCCUGAAUCUUAUCCAUGAAGUUCUUUGGUCUAGCAUGAACAGCAUUUGGAUCUUAUUUGAAAGAUUGGUGCAGUUAAUUUCAGCUUCUUUUACAAGAUUUCUGGAGUACAGCCGCGAUAACAGGAAAAUAAAUGCAAAGGGAGUUUUUCAGCAAAUGCAUGUUGUGUAAUGCUGAGACCUACACCCUUUUUGGGGGAAAGAUGGAGUUAACUAUGAUUUUAGGUGUUUUUUGUGCCGUUGUCUCAAGGAGAUUGUAUUUUCUCUUUCGAGUUCACUUGUGUGUUCUCCCUUUUGCAUUUCACCUAAGUAGUAACCAAAAAAAGUUGGAACAUGAUUGUAGUGAGUGUCAGGGUAAAAAAUAUUAUUUCAGUGUAUUCCUUCUGACCAACUUUUGUCAUUGCUGUUCUUCUAUUUGGGUGUUCAAAUAUUUUAUAGCACCGUGUAAGUCUCCUAAAUAAACAAAAUACAUACUUAAAUACUUUACAAUGC